RNAcentral lists this transfer RNA (89 nucleotides) under Thermodesulfobacteriota bacterium. RNAcentral's name for it is "tRNA-Ser". It matches the Rfam family "tRNA". Rfam says of the family: Transfer RNA (tRNA) molecules are approximately 80 nucleotides in length. Their secondary structure includes four short double-helical elements and three loops (D, anti-codon, and T loops). Further hydrogen bonds mediate the characteristic L-shaped molecular structure. tRNAs have two regions of fundamental functional importance: the anti-codon, which is responsible for specific mRNA codon recognition, and the 3' end, to which the tRNAs corresponding amino acid is attached (by aminoacyl-tRNA synthetases). tRNAs cope with the degeneracy of the genetic code in two manners: having more than one tRNA (with a specific anti-codon) for a particular amino acid; and 'wobble' base-pairing, i.e. permitting non-standard base-pairing at the 3rd anti-codon position. The record is from RNAcentral. Lineage: Bacteria; Pseudomonadati; Thermodesulfobacteriota.
GGAGAGGUUGCCGAGGGGUUUAAGGCGCCGCUCUCGAAAAGCGGUUCUCCCGAAAGGAGACGUGGGUUCGAAUCCCACCCUCUCCGCCA